This 303-nucleotide ribosomal RNA is filed under the name Triticum aestivum (bread wheat). Its description in RNAcentral is "partial small subunit ribosomal RNA". The record is from RNAcentral. Lineage: Eukaryota; Viridiplantae; Streptophyta; Magnoliopsida; Poales; Poaceae.
AUGGAUCAAAUAGAAGACAUGGAUUCCGUGUGGUCAAGGAGCUUUAUGCAUCAAAAUAAUUUUCCUCAUCUACAUCAGGUACAAUUUUGGAUUCCACAUGGAGAUCAUGUCGGGGCACACCAACUAUACCCAUCGUUACUGCUCAAGAAUCUCCCACUCUGUACGAAGGUUGUCUCUGGUCAGUUGAUGUCAUUGUUCCAUUGGUUUGUUACUCUUUUUUUCAGAUUAAAGCAUUGGAUUUGUAGCUUCCCUUGGACUAAACAAGUACUAAUCUUCAGAAUUCUAUGUUCUUUUACCUGCUAA